UUAAAGCCAUAACUGAUGUGGAAACCGUUAUCUAUAUAGUAAUCCAGGUUAUAACGGAAAUUAUCGCCCAGC
Molecule: unclassified non-coding RNA, 72 nt
Filed under: Flavobacterium akiainvivens
Lineage: Bacteria; Pseudomonadati; Bacteroidota; Flavobacteriia; Flavobacteriales; Flavobacteriaceae
Description: Flavo-1 RNA
Source: RNAcentral